CAAUUCAGAGUUCGGAGCUAUGAGUUAUGCUCCUUACAAGUUUCGUGUUGCUGCUGAACUUUUUGACGCGUUGCUGUUGUGUGUUCUUUCGUGCUACGGUGCUGCUGCGUGUGUGUGUGAUUCAUGCAUAGUUGUUGUUGGUGCUUGCAACCAUCAUCUCCUUCAUCUCUUUUAUGGGGGUGAUUAUUGGAGAUUGAGUAUGAAUAAGGAGAUAUUGGACUCUCGAAGAUUUUUAUGGAGUCGAGUGCUAUUUAAAGAUGCGUAGAGAGUUCAUUGUUAGUGAUCUUGCAGGUUCGUGUGUGGAAAGCUCGGAAUGGAGUAAAAGGAAGAAUUUAGGUAUCAAGGUUAUAAUUAGAUGUAAUGGUUCAGAGGUUGUAUUUAGGGUUAUAUAACCUUAUUUGUGAAUAAAUUAUUAUAUUGCUUUAGAAGUCGAGCAAGGUAUUAUGUAAUAUGUUAUUUGGUUAA
Molecule: long non-coding RNA, 465 nt
Organism: Beta vulgaris subsp. vulgaris (sugar beet)
Lineage: Eukaryota; Viridiplantae; Streptophyta; Magnoliopsida; Caryophyllales; Amaranthaceae
Exons: 3
Source: RefSeq, a predicted model, not a curated record